GUCGAGUGACACUGCGCCGAAAAUGUACCGGGGCUAAACAUAUUACCGAAGCUGUGGAUUGUCCUUUGGACAAUGGUAGGAGAGCGUUCUAAGGGCGUUGAAGCAUGAUCGUAAGGACAUGUGGAGCGCUUAGAAGUGAGAAUGCCGGUGUGAGUAGCGAAAGACGGGUGAGAAUCCCGUCCACCGAUUGACUAAGGUUUCCAGAGGAAGGCUCGUCCGCUCUGGGUUAGUCGGGUCCUAAGCUGAGGCCGACAGGCGUAGGCGAUGGAUAACAGGUUGAUAUUCCUGUACCACCUAUAAUCGUUUUAAUCGAUGGGGGGACGCAGUAGGAUAGGCGAAGCGUGCGAUUGGAUUGCACGUCUAAGCAGUAAGGCUGAGUAUUAGGCAAAUCCGGUACUCGUUAAGGCUGAGCUGUGAUGGGGAGAAGACAUUGAGUCUUCGAGUCGUUGAUUUCACACUGCCGAGAAAAGCCUCUAGAUAGAAAAUAGGUGCCCGUACCGCAAACCGACACAGGUAGUCAAGAUGAGAAUUCUAAGGUGAGCGAGCGAACUCUCGUUAAGGAACUCGGCAAAAUGACCCCGUAACUUCGGGAGAAGGGGUGCUCUUUAGGGUUAACGCCCAGAAGAGCCGCAGUGAAUAGGCCCAAGCGACUGUUUAUCAAAAACACAGGUCUCUGCUAAACCGUAAGGUGAUGUAUAGGGGCUGACGCCUGCCCGGUGCUGGAAGGUUAAGAGGAGUGGUUAGCUUCUGCGAAGCUACGAAUCGAAGCCCCAGUAAACGGCGGCCGUAACUAUAACGGUCCUAAGGUAGCGAAAUUCCUUGUCGGGUAAGUUCCGACCCGCACGAAAGGCGUAACGAUUUGGGCACUGUCUCAACGAGAGACUCGGUGAAAUCAUAGUACCUGUGAAGAUGCAGGUUACCCGCGACAGGACGGAAAGACCCCGUGGAGCUUUACUGUAGCCUGAUAUUGAAAUUCGGCACAGCUUGUACAGGAUAGGUAGGAGCCUUUGAAACGUGAGCGCUAGCUUACGUGGAGGCGCUGGUGGGAUACUACCCUAGCUGUGUUGGCUUUCUAACCCGCACCACUUAUCGUGGUGGGAGACAGUGUCAGGCGGGCAGUUUGACUGGGGCGGUCGCCUCCUAAAAGGUAACGGAGGCGCUCAAAGGUUCCCUCAGAAUGGUUGGAAAUCAUUCAUAGAGUGUAAAGGCAUAAGGGAGCUUGACUGCGAGACCUACAAGUCGAGCAGGGUCGAAAGACGGACUUAGUGAUCCGGUGGUUCCGCAUGGAAGGGCCAUCGCUCAACGGAUAAAAGCUACCCCGGGGAUAACAGGCUUAUCUCCCCCAAGAGUUCACAUCGACGGGGAGGUUUGGCACCUCGAUGUCGGCUCAUCGCAUCCUGGGGCUGUAGUCGGUCCCAAGGGUUGGGCUGUUCGCCCAUUAAAGCGGUACGCGAGCUGGGUUCAGAACGUCGUGAGACAGUUCGGUCCCUAUCCGUCGUGGGCGUAGGAAAUUUGAGAGGAGCUGUCCUUAGUACGAGAGGACCGGGAUGGACAUACCUCUGGUGUACCAGUUGUCGUGCCAACGGCAUAGCUGGGUAGCUAUGUGUGGACGGGAUAAGUGCUGAAAGCAUCUAAGCAUGAAGCCCCCCUCAAGAUGAGAUUUCCCAACUUCGGUUAUAAGAUCCCUCAAAGAUGAUGAGGUUAAUAGGUUCGAGGUGGAAGCAUGGUGACAUGUGGAGCUGACGAAUACUAAUCGAUCGAAGACUUAAUCAA
Molecule: ribosomal RNA, 1773 nt
Filed under: Staphylococcus aureus W41914
Lineage: Bacteria; Bacillati; Bacillota; Bacilli; Caryophanales; Staphylococcaceae
Also listed under: 3 other names
Description: bacterial LSU rRNA
Rfam family: Bacterial large subunit ribosomal RNA
Source: RNAcentral